UACGUAGGGGGCAAGCGUUGUCCGGAAUCAUUGGGCGUAAAGCGCGCGUAGGCGGCUCUGUAAGUCCGUUGUGAAAGUCAAAGGCUCAACCUUUGAAAGCCGAUGGAUACUGCAGAGCUAGAGUCCGGAAGAGGCGAGUGGAAUUCCUGGUGUAGCGGUGGAAUGCGCAGAUAUCAGGAGGAACACCAAUUGCGAAGGCAGCUCGCUGGGACGUUACUGACGCUGAGACGCGAAAGCGUGGGGAGCAAACAGG
RNAcentral lists this ribosomal RNA (253 nucleotides) under uncultured bacterium. RNAcentral's name for it is "partial 16S ribosomal RNA". It matches the Rfam family "Bacterial small subunit ribosomal RNA", at positions 524 to 776 of the family's 1533-position model. The record is from RNAcentral.